This is a long non-coding RNA of Dromaius novaehollandiae (emu), 5209 nucleotides long. RefSeq lists it as uncharacterized. The record is from RefSeq and is a predicted model, not a curated record. The transcript is spliced from 6 exons. Lineage: Eukaryota; Metazoa; Chordata; Aves; Casuariiformes; Dromaiidae.
GAGGGAGGUGCCGUGGGGGAGGGAGUGCCGGCGCCACGCUCAGGCGCCCCCCUGCCGCCGGCGCGACGGGACGGGCUCUGCGGGGUGCGAGGUGGUGGCUGCUGCGCGCUCUCGCUCUCUUUUUUCUCUUUUCUUUGUUCUCUUUUCUUUUUUCUUUUCUUUUUCUUUUCUUUUGGUGGCGUUUUGAGAAAGCAGAGAGGGGGAAAGCAGGGAAGAGGGGCGCGUGGCUGAAGGCGAGGGAGGCGAUGGCUGCGGUUGGCGGCCGUCGGGCCCGCGCCCGUGCGAAGCUGCGCGGGGCACCCGGGGCUUCAAAAUCUCCCCAAAAGAGGAGAGCUGAGAAGCGGGAGGUCGCUGGGGAUGGAGGCAGCCGGGCGAGGGAGGGCACGCAGCUCUGCCCUGUCCCGGCUAGGCCGGCCGGCGCGGUGAGGAGCCCGCGGCGAGGUGGCAGUUGGGUGUCCUGUAACUGAGGCGCCCGCAUGAAGGCCGGCUUUCUCGUAGGGCGUUUUUCUUUUACUGUCCGUAAUGAGAACUUGCGUUCAGCAGACUCUUUGGGACUUGCUUUACUUUAGACUAUUUACGUGGUACUGCAUGAUCUCACACUUGGUGAUCAUCACUCUAUUUGGUGGUGUCUCCCAAGCCAUGUUGCUGGUGGUGGUGGCUGCGCAUAUUUCCGUCUGCGCUGUCCUGAGAAGCAUUUCUGGUGUUGAACAUUAAGCACUAUCUAAUCUUGUUUUGUAGAUACAGCUUCUUGAAUAACAGGGUGUGUAUACGUGCAAAUUAAAUUAAUCCACAUUCUUACACUCUUGCCUCAUUUUCAGGAAAAGUGACUUCAACUUAAGUAAUAAGGAUUUGGUUGUGUUAAUAUAGUCAGAUUCAACAAAAUGCUUCAGUGCCUGCAUAGAUCUUUUCUAUUCAAGAUGGCAUUUAAGCUUAUGCUUAAAACUAAAUGCUUACUGAAAUCUUUCAUUUCAAAGGAAGUUAAGACCUUAGGAACUAUCUUGAAUGGUGUUGCUUCUAGAAUUGGAAGUACUUAAUUUUCUCUGGCCAAAUGUGUCGUAUGUAGGGGCAUAGUCCAGGUGACAAUAAUGGGAGUUUUGCCCUUGUAAGACCACAAAACAAAUAAGCAAUAAUAGAAUAGGCUGAAUUUAAUGUGUACUCAAAAUCGACUUUCUUCUGAACUGCUUCAGAUGUCUUCAUGUAAAAUUAACACAUUUCAGUCACCAGACAAGAAUGAACAUUCAAUAAAAACAAAACCGAAGAACACGUUUCUUAUUAAAAGUCCAUUGUAAGAUGCUCUCCCAAAACAACACUGAGAUUGGGUUCUCAUGCAUCAAGCACUGCAUUGUUUGUUCAGUGUGGACUGUAGCAUAUUUUGAACAGGGACCAUGUGUCUUCUUGUGUACAGUCCAAUAACAGCAGUUCUUUUACUGCUCCACGUAGCAACUUUUUUUUUUCUUUUAUUACUAACCCUGUCCCAGAAAUACUGCUCUAAGCUGUGCCUUUUUAAUUAACUUCCUUCUUUUAUUUAAUGGUAUACUAGUGUUUCAGGGUUUUUUUUUUACCUGCUUGUGUUAGUUAGGAUUCAUACUUCUAAUGUGUACAUCUUUUAAUCUUUUUUCGUCUCUAUUGGUAUUCACAAUCCCUUCUAAUUAAUUUUACCAAUGUUUAUAUACCAAUUAAUUUAUGUUCUCUUUACUUACCCUCAAAACACUAAAAAUGAGUUGUUAAAUAAAACUGAACCACUUAUUCCACUUCUUUCAGCAUCCUGCUUCUUCCAGAACUUUAUUCAUUGAAAUAUAACAUUACUGUAGAGAGGCUAAAUCCUAGUUUUCUAUAGACAAUCACCUCUUGGCUAAAGGAGAUGCAGAAGACCGAACUAUUUACUUCUUCCAAGUCAACUUGCAGUAUUCACAGUAUUUUUCAGAACAUUGCAUCUGUAAUAAGUGGCUUCAGAUGGUGGCUACUCACUGUGAUGAAUCUGGUAUCUGUGAUUUCAUCCCAACCCUAUAUAUCUCAUCACUAUGUAGAAAGAGCUGCAAGAGAAUGUGUUCCAUGAUGGGCAAGGCACUAGCUAAGCAAUAUUCACUGGUGUGAAGAAACAGUUUCUUUCAAAAAGCCUUCAGUCUAAAACUCUAAACAUAGCUGAUCAAGUGCUACUGUUUGAGGCUGUACCUAAAAUUAAUAUUCAAAUUAUGUACCUGCCAAUCUACCCUAUAACCUGCUCUGUUAUCCAGAUGUCCACAGAAAUGGGCAAAGGAGUACACCAAAUGGCCUCUUGAUUCACCAAAGCCACAUGCUCAAGCGAUUUAUAGUUACAUUCUGCCCUGAGAUGCACACAUCAUUCUGAAAUAAAUGUGUACAUGUGUACCAUGAGAAAGAAACUGAGCUCUGACUUUUUUUCCUCAUUAUAUGAAACUCAAGCACAUACACUCUUCCUUGAGUACAAAAUGGAAAAAAGUAAAAUGUGUUGGUGAGUUUUGUCAGAGAAUUUCUAUGAAUAUUAGAAUCCAACAUACUGGGCAUGAUAGAAGUUGACAUGAAAUAGCUGAAGAAAUCUAAAGAUUAUUUCCUAUUAGUGCUCGUCCCAAAAGUGCAUCAUUUUUAGGAAGGAGGGCAGAGCAGGAAGAAGAGUACAGCCCUGAUCAGAAGCCAAAAGGCUCCUAUGUGAUUCACUGCUUCAGGUGUAACCUAGUUUUAUGUGAGAAUGCUACUGCAGUCCUCAAUAGAGAAGACCAGGAUCCUUAGAAACUGCACAUAUAUUUAACAAGAUUCACCUCUGAUUUGCAACAAACAGCAAAAGGUGAUGUACAUCUCCUCUUACAUUUUUUUCCAUCAUAUUAAUAAAGAAUAAGAAGCAAAUAUGGGCAUGAACAAGAGGAAUAAGCAACAUAUCUACAACGAUUUGUGAGCUGGUUUUGUAUUUUUGCUAAUCUGAUUACAAAAAAUCUGAGUGGAAGAUCAACAGACUGAAUAUAAAGGCAUUUGUGCUGAGGGAUAAAAGAGUAGGAUUUUCUACCAAUUUUCCUCCUCUGCCCUUUUCUUUCUACACUGUAAACAAUGGUAUUUCCAUAGGUAUUUCCAUAUUCUCUUGUUCUUCCCUUUAACAGUAUCUGGUUUCUUCCCAAAAUUUCAGCAUGUUCUUUCUUAUCCUUUGCUUUUGAGCUGUAUACGUGAUUGGAUUCUGCUGAUGUUUGGGAGGAAGUGAUAAAUUGUUGCAAACUUCACCUUUGCAUUAUCUAGAGCAGGGAGAAUGUAAAGAACUUGUAUCUCUAGUUAGCACAAAUUUCUGUACAUCUCUUGCAUUUCUGUUUGGUUGACAGUUCUUUUCUUUAUGGCCAUUGGUUAGAGUAUUAAAUUCUAAAUGUAAAAAACUAGAUGCGAUUGUCCUUUUCCUUGCCAUAUUUGGCAGUUCCUGUACAAAGAAUUCUGUUGGGGGUGUAGAAUUUUUUUUAUGCAUUUUUAAAAGAUAUAGUUAACAUUACAGCUUAUGCAGUGGUGGUGAAUGAGUUGCUUGGUACCAUGUCAUAAAUGCUCCAAAAUAAAAAGUUUUGUUACAGUUUUGCCUUCCCUGCUUCAGCGUUUCACAGCUGUAAUUAAGGUCAGCAUUAAGUGAAACUCCACAGAUUCCAUAGAAUUUCUAAACUCUGCCCUAAGAGUUCUGUCUUGCAGAAAUUCCUGGAACUUCUUUCAUAUUGCGUGCAGUAUUUGGUAAAUCUCUGACUGACUUAACAGUGCAUUAAAAAGUUAACCAAAGCAGUAACAGCAAAUUCAGCUCUGAAUAAAAUAAAUAGUUGCAGAAAUUGAUUUAGCUCAAAAGCCAUCAGUUACACUCAUUUUUUUCCUCUAGAAAUUUAACAAGGGUUUUAGAAUUGGAAAUGUUUUGUUUUCAUCCUUAUCUGUCUUCUUUUAACCUCUCAAGCCCCUGGGUAUAGCUGAAGCACAGCAAGUUCAACAUAACAGAUGGAGAUUUAACAAACAAGAAAAUUAUGGCCUAUGUGGGUGAAAUGCUUUCUGUGAUAUUUCAUAUAAAUCUUCCCUUUUGUCAAGUUUUAUGAGCAAAGCUCUUUAGUUUUAACUUGCUUUUUAAAGCAGUUUGGGUGUGGACUUGAAUAUAUUUCAAAAUAACAACAGAUCUCAACAAAUGCUACUUGCUGCAUAUUACUAUUUUUAUAUGUGCUUUAGAAUUUCUGAAGAUGUAAAUUCAUUUAGAAAUAAUCCUUAUUAAUCUUUGAAGAGAGUGUUCAUUGUAUUUGACAAAAAUUGUUUUGCAGAAAAUUAGGAGAACAGCCUGAAUCUUUGCCUUAUCUCUUGAAUGGUUUAUGAUUCAAUCCCACUGCAUGAAUAAGCUUUGCCAACUGUUUUGUUUCUACCAUAAAAGCUUUAUAUGUAUAUAAACAUAUAGAUAUAUAAAAAUAUAUAUAUGGGGGUGUGUUUAUAAGUAUAUAUAUGUGCAAACAUACAUAAGUAUAUACCAUAUUUCUUUCUUGUUGGUUCUGAAAGCUUGGUGCUGUUGAAUUAGAUAAGCUUGAAUAGAAACACACUGGAAGAAUAGUAAUUCAAGAUACUCGUUUUCAACAGGCAAAGGAGCUUUAUUAAGAAAAGGAGAUAAAAAUGUUGUGUCAUAGCUUUCAGAAAUGUUGUUGUAGGCUUCAAAGACAAAUACACUUAUCUGGCUACAACUGAACGUGUGAUGACAAGCGUGACAACAAAUCAUCAUGUUGCUUACUGUGGCUCAAGCCAGUCUAGUCUUUCUUCUGGAAUGAUUUUUUUAUACUACUGCAAUGCAAACGUACAUCUGAUAGUGUUACUGUAUUAUACUCUGGAAAAAAUGAAAUCUGCCAGCAGUCAUCCCAAUAUCUACAAGACAUUGCUUCAUACUUGUGCAAAUCUCUGCAGUAUAAUUAGAUGAACUCUGCAAAUGCCCCAUAAAGCGAGAAUUAAAAUAUAGACCAGGCGGAACAAGGACAGGCUAAUGCUAGUGCUGGGAAAGCAACAAGAGACUGCAUCAAAACUCUUGAUCUGCAGCAGCACUGCACUUUAUAUGAAGAAGCAAUUCCUCAAAAGAAGGAUUUACGUUUCUGCUGAUCCUGUUGUCAGAUGACAGAAGAAUAUGGGUAUGAACAUUUCCAAAAAAAUAUUUGUCAACUGGGAAAAAGAGACUAUAACUUCAGGAGGAAAAUUAAAUACUUAUUAUGCAUUUAUUUAAGAA